RNAcentral lists this small RNA (29 nucleotides) under Bombyx mori (domestic silkworm). RNAcentral's name for it is "ovarian small RNA-25928". Lineage: Eukaryota; Metazoa; Arthropoda; Insecta; Lepidoptera; Bombycidae. The record is from RNAcentral.
UCAUAGCUUCGGUCAGAAAUGACGAUUGA